GGGACGAACGCUGGCGGCGUGCUUAACACAUGCAAGUCGAGCGGUAAGGCCUUUCGGGGUACACGAGCGGCGAACGGGUGAGUAACACGUGGGUGAUCUGCCCUGCACUCUGGGAUAAGCCUGGGAAACUGGGUCUAAUACCGGAUAUGACCUGCUCUCGCAGUGGGGGGUGGGUGGAAAGAUUUAUCGGGUGCAGGAU
RNAcentral lists this ribosomal RNA (199 nucleotides) under uncultured soil bacterium. RNAcentral describes it as "partial 16S ribosomal RNA". It matches the Rfam family "Bacterial small subunit ribosomal RNA", at positions 27 to 226 of the family's 1533-position model. The record is from RNAcentral.